GAUGAACGCUGGCGGCGUGCCUAAUACACGCAAGUCGAGCGAACAGACGAGGAGCUUGCUCCUCUGACGUUAGCGGCGGACGGGUGAGUAACACGUGGAUACCCUACCUAUAAGACUGGGAUAACUUCGAGAAACCGGCGCUAAUACCGGAUAAUAUAUUGAACCGCAGGGUUCAAUAGUGAAAGACGGUUUUGCUGUCACUUAUAGAUGGAUCCGCGCCGCAUUAGCUAGUUGGUAAGGUAACGGCUUACCAAGGGAACGAUGCGUAGCCGACCUGAGAGGGUGAUCGGCCACACUGGAACGGGGCCACGGUCCAGACUCCUACGGGAGGCAGCAGUAGGGAAUCUUCCGCAAUGGUCGAAAGCCUGGCGGAGCAACGCCGCGUGAGUGAUGAAGGUCUUCGGAUCGUAAAACUCUGUUAUUAGGGAAGAACAAAUGUGUAAGUAACUAUGCACGUCUUGACGGUACCUAAUCAGAAAGCCACGGCUAACUACGUG
Molecule: ribosomal RNA, 497 nt
Filed under: uncultured bacterium
Lineage: Bacteria
Description: partial 16S ribosomal RNA
Rfam family: Bacterial small subunit ribosomal RNA
Source: RNAcentral